AAGGUAGGUGAGGGCACUUUCUAAGCAUCUCCAUGAAACUCUCCCAACUCUCAUAAAUAAAUUCUCUUUUUAACUGAGUAAAAGAAGUAAUGUCAUUUAUAAUCUU
Molecule: small nucleolar RNA, 106 nt
Organism: Dendrobium catenatum
Lineage: Eukaryota; Viridiplantae; Streptophyta; Magnoliopsida; Asparagales; Orchidaceae
Source: RefSeq, a predicted model, not a curated record